CCACCUGGGGAGUACGCCGGCAACGGUGAAACUCAAAGGAAUUGACGGGGGCCCGCACAAGCGGAGGAACAUGUGGUUUAAUUCGAUGAUACGCGAGGAACCUUACCCGGGCUCAAACGCAGGAGGAAUGUUUUUGAAAGGAGGCAGCUCUUCGGAGUCUCCUGCGAGGUGCUGCAUGGUUGUCGUCAGCUCGUGCCGUGAGGUGUCGGCUUAAGUGCCAUAACGAGCGCAACCCCUACCGCCAGUUGCCAACGGGUUAUGCCGGGAACUCUGGCGGGACUGCCGGCGCAAGCUGAGAGGAAGGCGGGGAUGACGUCAAAUCAGCACGGCCCUUACGUCCGGGGUGACACACGUGUUACAAUGGCAGGUACAGCGGGAAGCCACUUGGCGACAAGGAGCGGAACCCGAAAACCUGUCUCAGUUCGGAUUGGAGUCUGCAACCCGACUCCAUGAAGCUGGAUUCGCUAGUAAUCGCGCAUCAGCCACGGCGCGGUGAAUACGUUCCCGGGCCUUGUACACACCGCCCGUCAAG
Molecule: ribosomal RNA, 532 nt
Filed under: uncultured bacterium
Lineage: Bacteria
Description: bacterial SSU rRNA
Rfam family: Bacterial small subunit ribosomal RNA
Source: RNAcentral